GGACCCAAGUGAGAGCACGCAGCAUGAAUUAAAUACAACAUGGUUCAUCCCAUGAGAAAUUCAGUGCUGAUGGAAAACUGCAGAAAAUCCAGAUGAGUUCGGGCUGAGUGGCUGAAUGACAGACAGCACUGCAUCAGGGACCAUUAAAGUGUUUUUGCGUAGAUGGCAUUUCUGACUUCGGGAUUCCUAAAAGGUCAAGACAACCGUUUUCAUACAUAUAAUUUUACUACACUGAAAGCAAUGAAUAAGCACUCCCAGAGAUUCAAUGAGAAAAGCAGAAGAGGAAACAAUAAUAAUAAUAAUCUUGUCCCUGUGGUUUUAUCUUUACUACUGUCUUUAUCUUAAAAUUUAGGUUUUAUUUUGUUGACUGAGUUUUAAGUAUUGUACCAAAGUAAAAAAAAAAAAAAAAAAGCACUCUGGGUGGAGGGUGAGGGUAGCUUUUUAGCUUCACUAGAGCGGGGUGGGGGUAGGGACACAGACCUUUGGUGGUGGAAAUGGUGUUAAUAUACACUCCUAUUAAAAAAAUAGGUCUUAUUUUGUUGCCAAAUGACAUUUCUAAAAGGAAAGAGUCUUCCUGGAAAGUCUUGGU
This is a long non-coding RNA of Erinaceus europaeus (western European hedgehog), 589 nucleotides long. RefSeq lists it as uncharacterized. The transcript is spliced from 4 exons. NCBI's taxonomy places the organism in Eukaryota, Metazoa, Chordata, Mammalia, Eulipotyphla, Erinaceidae. The record is from RefSeq and is a predicted model, not a curated record.